Long non-coding RNA from Carassius gibelio (silver crucian carp), 3528 nucleotides. RefSeq lists it as uncharacterized. The transcript has 3 exons. The record is from RefSeq and is a predicted model, not a curated record. NCBI's taxonomy places the organism in Eukaryota, Metazoa, Chordata, Actinopteri, Cypriniformes, Cyprinidae.
UCUGUUGUAACAUUUCCGAGUUCCAUAUACUGUAUGUUCCUCUGAAGGCUUGUUCUGGAAGCGCUGUGGGAGGUAUGUCUGCUACCAUUAUCCACAUUGUCACGGCCCCACAACCCACUUUCAAUAUUCAAGCACACAGCGCACAGGGAACAGGGAUAGACAGCAUCCUGAUAGGAUUGUUUCCAGAGUCCAUAUGCCAGGCCAAGAGAUUACUGCCUCUUGCUUCCCUAGUGUGUAUCUGAUUUUGUGUGUUAUAGAUCAAGACUUUCACUAAAACCCAACUUUAUGAGAUUUUGCACUAUGCUGUGCUCAGCGCUGGUGGUUGUGGGUAAGGUAUAUUGGCAGAGUGUUUGUGAACUUGCAGUUCUCCUAUUUACUGCAUGUGAGAGUUCAGUGAAUUGAUACACUUGUGUACUGUACCUUUAACUUUAGGCAUUUCUGUUUAAGGAUGCAUGCAUGUAGCAUCUUAAGAUGCUAAUAUGCACCCUUUGAGGGUAAAUAAUGUACAAAUGUGUACCAAUAAGGUUAUACAACCGUGCUGUUAAUUUUUGUAUGUUUUUUUUUUUUUUUUUUUUUUUUUUUUUAGGAUUUAUUAUUAUUUAUUAAAAAUGUGAGAGGAUUCCAUGUGUUAUGUACAUUAAUUGGUAAUGGUAAAUUUUGUCAAUUUAUUACUACAUACAGAAAAAGGUUAGAGAAAUCAUGUAAAUAAUUUAUUUUAUAAUUUCAUUUCAUUUUCUACUUGCAGCCAGUUAUUACACCACUGCACCCCUAAUGGUAAUUUUUGCACAUUUGUUUCUGAUGGUGUUCAAAAAACGUAAUUAGUACAUACAGAAAAAGGUAUAGAGAAAUGAAGGUCUUAUUUAAUGAAAGUUUAAUUUAUUUUAGCCAUGUGAGACUUACUGUACAUCCAGUUACGGCCACAGUGCGCCUCAAAUUAUAAUUUUCAUGCAUUAUUUCUGAUGGUGUUCAACUUUUAUAUCAUUUUAUUUUAUUUACUAUAUUCCAUAUAGUUAAGAACCACACAGAGUUUUUUUUUUUUUUUUUUUUUGCCUUUCUUGCCUUCAGAGACAAUGAACAGACAUUUCCAAAAGAUUUCAGUAUUUUUAGAAAGAAAAUACUCAUGGCAAGCUGUUGUGUGAUUAUUUAUUUAUUUUGCACCUGCACAACUUUUCAGGUAAAAUAAGUUAAUUCGGUCUAAUGGGAUUGUUUUCCCCCACUGGGAGGAUUGUUUUCUGUUCCGCAGAUACUUCCAGAGAAUCACGUUGAUGAUAUAACACCCGAAGACAUACACACGAUACCUGGAGAAACUUAAAAUGGUGUGGGUGCUGAGUUCUGCAGCCUUUCAGUGGAACAAAGUGAUUUUUAUUACAUUUACUUUAUUCAAAUAUUAUUUACUUAUUUAUUAAUCGCCUGGUGAUAUCACAAAUGCUGCUGUUCACUGUAGUCAAGACCACUUAUAUACACAAAAGCAAAACUUUGCUUCAAAAGGCCCUCGCUACAUCUGUGGCAAGUGCUAUUAUUAACCAUUGUCAUUCUCUACCGCAUCUAUUCAAAAUGAUUCCCCAUGGGUAUAAUUACUCAUUUAGGUCCCAGAAUAAACUUUCCAUUUAGAUAUCAAUAAUGAUUUCAAUAUCUGCGAUAGUAUCCUCUCUGGUACUUGGUAUUGGAUCGAAAAGAAAAUAAGUAGCAUCUCCCGUCCCUAGUGAUUCGUCCUCUUUUCAGUUAUUUAAGAUCAAUUGACGUCAUUGACUUUUUAAAUGACUCCGGUGUUUUGACUCUUGUUAGCAAUGUGCCCUCUAUAGAUUUAUACCGAUGAAUCUCAUUACAUACAUUCCUUCUCCUUCUUCACUCACGUGCUGUCCCCUCUGGCGACGUGUACACUAGUCUCUGCUUCCUCCUUCCUGCUCGUUCAUGCAUUCUCAUGGCGGCCUGUCAGUGUCCUAUUAGUCAAACACUGUCAUCAUCACAGUUUAUUAGCAUGUGAAAGGUCACAGUAAUGUCGGAUGCUAAUUGCGGUGGCGCUAAACAGCUGAUUGAUCGACAGAUGAGCUGAAAUGUGACCAUGCACCAUGAUUCAUGUAGAUAUCGAUACAUACUUCAUUCCAUCUAGCAUAAAUAAAGCCAAACAGUCUGUCACAUUCUGUCGUACUUAUCAGCAGGUCCAGCCGUGCCGUGAGUGCCGGGCAUGAUGGAGAUAUAUAGAGGUCUUAAAAUAACCCUUAAAGAUGACAGCACUGAUAGAGUCGCACACAAGAUAAGCAUGUGACUUCAUGUUGAUCGAUGGCAGAGAAAUAAAGUGCAAUCUUAAUGAAGAUGGGAACGGUGUGUGUGGUACGGUGUGUCUGAGCCCCUGUCUGUGGGGAGCACUGGGGCAGAUAGUAUUUGCUCUGUUUAUAAUUUCUCUCUGUUUCAACCAGUGCUGACAGUUUUUUUUUUUUUUUUUUUGUACAAACCUUGCUGGCAUCAUGGCAUAUUGCUGGAUUAGCACCAACCAUCUCACUCCCAUCUCUUGGAAAGGAGGAAUCUUGGUAGAGGCAAGGCAACAAUCUUGACACAUUGCCAUCAUGCUGCAGUGGUUGACAAGCUGUAAUCAGCCUCAGGAUUUGAGUCCCUGCAGGGGGGGAUUGUUGGUAUUUGCAUCAGGCAGUUAAUGAAAUGAUCAACGAGAGAACAAAGCAACAAAUAAACCCAAAGCCGAACAGAAGAAAGGCCUCCAACGAUGCCUAAGAAAGCUGUGUCUUUGUGUAUGUGCUAUUGAUGGCCAGAUGUUAUAGAUUGUUAAGUCUUCGCUUGGCUCUGGUCGAUGUCAUGCCAGAAUAUCCUCCUAUUUUCUUCCAAUGCCACAUUUGAAAAUCACACCCGAAGGAUUAAAGCCUUUGCUGAAGGCUUCCCGCUGACCACAGGAUAUAAUGUCAUCUUAUUCUUGUCUUUUAUGUGUUCCCAGGUGGUUUACACUGUCCUCUGCAUCAAAUCAAGCAGUUUUACUUUUUCUGUUUCCAACAGGGUCAGCUGAGCCGCAAAGACUUAACGCUUGAUCGAUCGAACUAAUUAAAGUUUAAUUAGGGAGCUUGUUCUAAACCGAGUACUUGACAAUAACAUGCCAAUGAGAGCACCUCAAGACAAGUAUUUAAUCGGGGAGGCAUGACUACACAACAACAACACUAUCAUGCUCAUUAUCUGUAUUGACGACAGUGUUUCACCAUGAGGCUGAUUUACAGAUAUUGUGCCAUUGAUACUUGCUGAAAAAGCACCCUAAACCAGCCUAAGGUGGUUUGCUGGUCUUUGGUGGCUAACUUGCGGUUUCAAUGGUUCUAGAGGGGUUUUGAACACUUUGACAGCUUGCCAAACAGCUCAACAGACUUCAAGAUCAAAUAAAUCAGGUUAAACCUGCUAAACUUUAAGUUUCUAAACCACACAGCAGUUGAAUUUCAAUCUUGAAAUAAAGAUAGCCACAUAACACAGAAUAAGAUUUGUAAAUAUUUUUACACUGUAUACUGUCUGUAUCGUUCAAAAGUUAGAAUUUUUUAU